CCUACGGGAGGCAGCAGUGGGGAAUAUUGCACAAUGGAGGGAACUCUGAUGCAGCGACGCCGCGUGAGUGAAGACGUAAUUCGUUAUGUUAAGCUCUAUCAGCAGGGAAGAAAGUGACGGUACCUGAAAAAGAAUCUCCGGCUAAAUACGUGCUAGCAGCCGCGGUAAUCCGGAUGGAGCAAGCGUUAUCCGGAUUUACUGGGUGUAAAGGGGGAGGAGGGGGCAGAGCAAGGUCGAAGUGAAAACCCAAAGCCCAACUAUGGGAAUGCUUUAGAAACUGCUCAUCUAGAGUGCAGGAGAGGCAAGUGGAAUUCGUAGUGUAGCGGUGAAAUGCAUAGAUAUUAGGAGGAACACCAGUGGCGAAGGCGGCUUGCUGGACUGUAACUGACGCUGAGGCUCGAAAGCGUGGGGAGCAAACAGGAUUAGAUACCCGGGUAGUC
Molecule: ribosomal RNA, 440 nt
Filed under: uncultured bacterium
Lineage: Bacteria
Description: partial 16S ribosomal RNA
Rfam family: Bacterial small subunit ribosomal RNA
Source: RNAcentral